Molecule: non-coding RNA, 26 nt
Filed under: Mus musculus (house mouse)
Lineage: Eukaryota; Metazoa; Chordata; Mammalia; Rodentia; Muridae
Source: RNAcentral
UUGCCAGCCAGUACUUUGGGUCUUAA